CAAGGCCUAGCUUAAAAGACAAAGCGACUCCCCUACACUGAGUAGAUGCUCGUUGAAAUCGAGUGGCCCUGA
Molecule: transfer RNA, 72 nt
Filed under: Lophogobius cristulatus (Pacific crested-goby)
Lineage: Eukaryota; Metazoa; Chordata; Actinopteri; Gobiiformes; Gobiidae
Description: tRNA-Val
Rfam family: tRNA
About the family: Transfer RNA (tRNA) molecules are approximately 80 nucleotides in length. Their secondary structure includes four short double-helical elements and three loops (D, anti-codon, and T loops).
Source: RNAcentral